CAAAAGGUUCUUUUCAAAACCAUUAACAAACUUCUUGAGAAGAAGU
This is a non-coding RNA of Nematostella vectensis (starlet sea anemone), 46 nucleotides long. Lineage: Eukaryota; Metazoa; Cnidaria; Anthozoa; Actiniaria; Edwardsiidae. The record is from Rfam.